UUAUCAGAAAGGCAAAUGCAAUUUUUAAGAUCAAAGUGGACAUAUCUUGGAAGCUACAUUUAUUACAAAAGGCUAAAGUGUCCACAUUCCUAGGAAUCAAAGGGAAUUAAAAGCCAGAAAAGCAGUAGUAUUCAAGAGACAAAUGCAAUCUUUGACGGAAAGCAUCUGCCGAAGUAGGUGACAGGAACAAGAGAGGAAGUCAAAGAAUUUGGAGGAGCCAAGAGGACUUUAAUGGCCAUAAAAAUCCACUCUCUGCUUUACUGAAAAAACUGAGACCAUCUCUCACACCACCAAAUUGCCAAAGCAUCAACACUUCUUAUGUGCUCUCCUGUUAGAUGGAAUGAACAAUCUGUCCACCCAUAUGAAGCCAUCCUUUGCAUUCAUGCAUGGAAUCCCAUCUUUUCUUUUCUGCUUAAGAACACAGCUGCAGUAGAGGACACAACCCACAACCACCAUUGAAGACUUCCUCUGAGGAAACCACUCAGAUCUUCCAAAUUCCACAUCUUAGAACCAACAAGGAAGCAUCCUUUCUGCUGCUUUCAAGUGAUUUUUCUUCCAGUCAUGCCUUCUCCAGCUCAGGCUGCUACAACCAGACACCAUUGAUUGGGUGGAUUAAACAGCAGGAGUUUAUUUCUCAAAGUUCUGGAGGCUGGAAAGUUCAAGAUCAAGUGGGCUAGCCAAUUCUAUUCCUGCUGUGGCUCUUCACUUGGCUUGCAGGUAGCUACUUUCUCACUGUGUUCUCACAUGGCAGAGAGAAAGUGCUGGUCUCUCUUCCUCUUCUUAUAAGGACACUAACCCCAUAAUGGGAAUUCCACACUUGUAAACUAAUCUAAAUCUAAUUACCUCUUAAAGGCCUCACCUCUAAUGCCAUCAUAUAGGGGGUUAGGGUUUCAUCAUAUGAAUUUUGGGAGGGCACAAACAUUCAGUCCAUAACAGAUCAUAAACCAGACCAAACUAAACAAGUCAUCUGGCAUCGAUACUCAGCUAUAUUAGGUCCUAUUUAUUUCCAUCACUGUUAUUUAUCACUUUAUGGGUUUCUCCUUCUUCUCAAUUGAGGAUUUUGGAGCCAGAAUAAUUUCAAAAUCUGCCUAGAUAAUCUUACAUCUUACAUCAUCUUACAACUUUGUUUCCUUAACUUAGAUAACCCUAACUUUCAUUGGGCUUCAGUCAUCUAUUCUCAGGACAGUACCUUGUGUCCUACCCUCACCCUAAACUGCCUCUUUCUGUUCCUUGACUUUCUACUUUCAUCCCAUUGUGUUCUCCAUUGUUUUCCCGCCCAAAGGUUCUCUCCUGGUCCUCUCUCCUUUUCUAUCCAACAUAAAUUCUAUGGUUUAAUAUCUGAACCAAAAUGAUGGAUUCUUUUGACUCUCACAUUUCCUCUAUACCCACUUGGCCAGACUUCAUCUCUGAAUCAUAUUAUUGUGUGUUGUGUUAUCCCUAAACUCAAGCAGCAAGGUUCAUGUUGAAGAAAAUACAAUAUCUGUGCAUAUGGGCAUCACUGCAAAUUGACAUGCUUCAAUCUCACUCAGAUGGGCCCUGGGAACCAGGAUUCAGCUCCCUUGUUUUUGGUGAGCACAUCUCCAGUUCCCUUUGAUGAAUCACCUUCACCUAUCCCCUUCAGCUUCUAUUCAGUUACUUCUCUUCACUCUGUAAGUCAAAGAUUUUGACUCAUGGUUUUCAGUGAAGUUUAAAUUAAUUUCAGCUUCUCAUUAGACUGUGAGCUUCUUGUUCAUUUUUAAAUCCUUCGUAAAGUGCAUGGCGUGUCUUAGACACUCAAUAAACAUUGAAUGAAUAAAUUUACCUUUUCCCUAUCCACAAAAUAAUUGCCAUGCACACUCAAAUCUAUUUAGCUUCAGAGGAUGUGUUUUACUGCCUUGUAGGACCAAUCUAUUUGCCUGUACCCUAGACUCUAGCUCUUGUUGGCUUCUUUGGGACCUGUUCCAUUAGUAUUGCUUCACUCAUAUAUAUUCAAAUUCUUCCUCUAUUGGCUGCUUUUCUUUAUCUAUAAACACUUUCAAGUCUGUCUAAUACUAGAUAAACUAAUGAAAAUAUUCCUUUAUAGGGGAUUAGGGCUCCAACAAAAUGAAUUUCUCUUUAGCUAAUACAAAAUGUUGUACUUUUGAUCAUCUCUAAAAUCAUUGCAAAGAUGAAUUUUACUCCCUCAAGUGCCAUGAUCUGGUUUCCACCUCUACCUCUGUUUGGAAUCUGCUAUUCAAUGAUCUCUAAUUGCUAAAGAAAACACACAUUUUAAAGUCCUUGCUUCACUGAACCUUACCACUUCUUCUGAAACUUCUUCCUUGGCUUUUAUGACUUUAUGUUUUAAAUCACUUCUCAGUUUCCAGAUAGGCUCCUCUUCAUCCUGUAAAUGCUGAUAUUCCCCCAGAGACCUUUUCUUGGUCCUCUAUUCUCACUCAUCUCCCUGGUGAUUUCACCUUUCCUCAAACUGUAUUGAGAACUUAAGUCUUCAAAUGACAUCAUGUUGCCUGCAGGAAGUAAGGCACAAAUAUGAGUUUUGCUUUAAAACACAAGACCAAAUGACCACUGGUUUUGAGAUGAUCUAUUUCAAGCAUUUCCUAGUGCUUUUGGCAUUUGGGGCUUGAUAAGCCUUUGUAAUGGGGCUGUUGUAAAUGCUUAGUAACACCACUGGUCUUUACUCAGUAGAUGCCAGCAGUAUGCCCAGUGUUGUGAUAACUAAAAUUGUCUCCAGAAAUUGUCAAAUGUCUCUUAUGGGGCAAAAUUGCCCUUGGUUGAGAACCACUGAUCAAUCUAGUGGCUAAUAACAAUGAAAAGAGGAAUGAUUAGUUAACUGUAUUGUAAGGUUCUUGAAAUGAGCUCUAAUUUCAAACUAAUCUGAUCAUGUUUUGAAUAAGAUCAUUAUGUCUUGAGAUCUGUACUUCUAACUCCUACCAUGUCCAUUGACUUUGCUACUUAGUAGAGUAAUUUGGCAAUGUUCCUGGAAAUUUGUUCCCCUCCGCCCCCUUUGUUCUGUUAUUUACUUUCUGUGGAAUAUAGGUUGAACAGCAGUAGCAAUGGUAGGAAACCUUAACAGCAACCUAGAAUGCAAGGUCUUUGUGGGGGAAGAAGUGGGGAUUAUUGACAGAUAACUAAUCAUGAAAGAAGGAAAAUGAAAUUUUUCUGAGGAACAAUUCAAACUGCAUCUAAUUCACUUUUUGGCAAGUUACUGAAACUUGCAAUAGCUUGGUCUCUUUAUGCACUAAAUUCAGCUAAUAUGAAAAUAGAAAUUACCUGAGUAAAAUUUUGAACUUUCAUUACUUUUCAUUUAUACUCUUUUUAUAUUAAGUAAAAUUUAAGUUUUUCCAUAUUAGCAGGCUGUCUGUAUCCACUGAGAAUGUGCCCUUCUAGAACACCUUGACAAAAGGACCUCUCUAUCUGUUUCAAGUUUGCUCUUUGGUUAAGCAGUCAUUGAGCAUAGG
Long non-coding RNA from Canis lupus familiaris (dog), 3434 nucleotides. RefSeq lists it as uncharacterized. The transcript is spliced from 3 exons. The record is from RefSeq and is a predicted model, not a curated record. Lineage: Eukaryota; Metazoa; Chordata; Mammalia; Carnivora; Canidae.